GACUCUUCAUUUCAGUUUCUCAAGAUGAGAUGCCCUGCUCAGCUCCUGGGGCUGCUGAUGCUCUGGAUCCCUGUAUCCAGUGCAGACAUCAGGAUGACACAGACUCCACUCUCCCUGUCCAUCAAACCUGAAGAGACAGCCUCCAUCUCCUGCAAGUCCAGUGAGAGCCUCCUGCAUAGCAAUGGAAACACAUACUUGAAUUGGCACCUACAGAAGCCAGGCCAGUCUCCACAACUCCUGAUCUAUAAGGUUUCCAACCAAGUUACUGGUGUCCCAGAGAGGUUCAGUGGCAGUGGGUCAGGUACAGAUUUUACACUGACAAUCAGCAGGGUGAAGCCUGAUGAUGCAGGGGUUUAUUACUGUGGGCAAAGUUUAAAAUAUUGGACGGAGGUGCUCAUGGAUAAACUAGAGAGAAAAUUAACCAAAGAUGAGGAAAUCUAA
This is a non-coding RNA of Dipodomys spectabilis (banner-tailed kangaroo rat), 441 nucleotides long. The record is from the annotation of a RefSeq genome assembly. NCBI's taxonomy places the organism in Eukaryota, Metazoa, Chordata, Mammalia, Rodentia, Heteromyidae.